GAUGAACGCUGGCGGCGUGCCUAAUACAUGCAAGUCGAGCGAACGGACGCGAAUCUUGCUUCUCUGUUGUUAGCGGCGGACGUGUGUGUAACAUGUGUAUAACCUACCUAUCUGUCUGGGAUAACUUCGGGACACCGGAGCUAAUACCGGAUAAUAUUUUGAACCGCAUGGUUCAAUAGUGAAAGUCGGUCUUUCUGUCACUUAUAGAUGGAUCCGCGCUGCAUUAGAUAGUUGGUAAGGUAACGGCUUAUCACGGCAACGAUGCAUAGCCGAGCUGAGAGGGUGAUCGGCCACACUGGAGCGGAGACGCGGUCCAGACUCCUACGGGAGGCAGCAGUAGGCAAUCUGACGCAAUAGGCGAAAGCCUGACGGAGCAACGGGACGUGAGUGAUGAAGGUCUUCGGAUCGUAAAACUCUGUUAUUAGGGAAGAACAUAUGUGUAAGUAACUGUGCACAGCUUGACGGUACCUAAUCAGAAAGCCACGGCUAACUACGUG
Molecule: ribosomal RNA, 497 nt
Filed under: uncultured bacterium
Lineage: Bacteria
Description: partial 16S ribosomal RNA
Rfam family: Bacterial small subunit ribosomal RNA
Source: RNAcentral